Molecule: ribosomal RNA, 465 nt
Filed under: Vreelandella stevensii
Lineage: Bacteria; Pseudomonadati; Pseudomonadota; Gammaproteobacteria; Oceanospirillales; Halomonadaceae
Description: partial 16S ribosomal RNA
Rfam family: Bacterial small subunit ribosomal RNA
Source: RNAcentral
CCUACGGGAAGCAGCAGUGGGGAAUAUUGGACAAUGGGGGGAACCCUGAUCCAGCCAUGCCGCGUGUGUGAAGAAGGCCCUCGGGUUGUAAAGCACUUUCAGUGAGGAAGAACGCCUGGUGGUUAAUACCCAUCAGGAAAGACAUCACUCACAGAAGAAGCACCGGCUAACUCCGUGCCAGCAGCCGCGGUAAUACGGAGGGUGCGAGCGUUAAUCGGAAUUACUGGGCGUAAAGCGCGCGUAGGUGGCUUGAUAAGCCGGUUGUGAAAGCCCCGGGCUCAACCUGGGAACGGCAUCCGGAACUGUCAAGCUAGAGUGCAGGAGAGGAAGGUAGAAUUCCCGGUGUAGCGGUGAAAUGCGUAGAGAUCGGGAGGAAUACCAGUGGCGAAGGCGGCCUUCUGGACUGACACUGACACUGAGGUGCGAAAGCGUGGGUAGCAAACAGGAUUAGAUACCCGUGUAGUC